Molecule: ribosomal RNA, 520 nt
Filed under: uncultured Glomus
Lineage: Eukaryota; Fungi; Glomeromycota; Glomeromycetes; Glomerales; Glomeraceae
Description: SSU rRNA
Rfam family: Eukaryotic small subunit ribosomal RNA
Source: RNAcentral
AGCAGCCGCGGUAAUUCCAGCUCCAAUAGCGUAUAUUAAAGUUGUUGCAGUUAAAAAGCUCGUAGUUGAAUUUCGGGGUCAGUAGGUUGGUCAUGCCACAGGUAUGUACUGAUCUUACUGAUUCCUCCUUCCUGAUGAACCGUAAUGCCAUUAAUUUGGUGUUGCGGGGAAACUGGACUGUUACUUUGAAAAAAUUAGAGUGUUUAAAGCAGGCUAACGCUUGAAUACAUUAGCAUGGAAUAAUGAAAUAGGACGUUCGAUCCUAUUUUGUUGGUUUCUAGGAUUGACGUAAUGAUUAAUAGGGAUAGUUGGGGGCAUUAGUAUUCAAUUGUCAGAGGUGAAAUUCUUGGAUUUAUUGAAGACUAACUACUGCGAAAGUAUUUGCCAAGGAUGUUUUCAUUAAUCAAGAACGAAAGUUAGGGGAUCGAAGACGAUCAGAUACCGUCGUAGUCUUAACCAUAAACUAUGCCGACUAGGGAUCGGAUGAUGUUAUUUUAAUGACUCAUUCGCGCCUUACGGG